This 807-nucleotide ribosomal RNA is filed under the name Microbacterium testaceum. RNAcentral describes it as "bacterial SSU rRNA". It matches the Rfam family "Bacterial small subunit ribosomal RNA", at positions 683 to 1486 of the family's 1533-position model. Lineage: Bacteria; Bacillati; Actinomycetota; Actinomycetes; Micrococcales; Microbacteriaceae. The record is from RNAcentral.
GGAAUGCGCAGAUAUCAGGAGGAACACCGAUGGCGAAGGCAGAUCUCUGGGCCGUAACUGACGCUGAGGAGCGAAAGGGUGGGGAGCAAACAGGCUUAGAUACCCUGGUAGUCCACCCCGUAAACGUUGGGAACUAGUUGUGGGGACCAUUCCACGGUUUCCGUGACGCAGCUAACGCAUUAAGUUCCCCGCCUGGGGAGUACGGCCGCAAGGCUAAAACUCAAAGGAAUUGACGGGGACCCGCACAAGCGGCGGAGCAUGCGGAUUAAUUCGAUGCAACGCGAAGAACCUUACCAAGGCUUGACAUAUACGAGAACGGGCCAGAAAUGGUCAACUCUUUGGACACUCGUAAACAGGUGGUGCAUGGUUGUCGUCAGCUCGUGUCGUGAGAUGUUGGGUUAAGUCCCGCAACGAGCGCAACCCUCGUUCUAUGUUGCCAGCACGUAAUGGUGGGAACUCAUGGGAUACUGCCGGGGUCAACUCGGAGGAAGGUGGGGAUGACGUCAAAUCAUCAUGCCCCUUAUGUCUUGGGCUUCACGCAUGCUACAAUGGCCGGUACAAAGGGCUGCAAUACCGUAAGGUGGAGCGAAUCCCAAAAAGCCGGUCCCAGUUCGGAUUGAGGUCUGCAACUCGACCUCAUGAAGUCGGAGUCGCUAGUAAUCGCAGAUCAGCAACGCUGCGGUGAAUACGUUCCCGGGUCUUGUACACACCGCCCGUCAAGUCAUGAAAGUCGGUAACACCUGAAGCCGGUGGCCCAACCCUUGUGGAGGGAGCCGUCGAAGGUGGGAUCGGUAAUUAGGACUAAGU